GAAGUCUUUAAGGUCCCUGAAAAUGGCU
This 28-nucleotide non-coding RNA is filed under the name Cricetulus griseus (Chinese hamster). Lineage: Eukaryota; Metazoa; Chordata; Mammalia; Rodentia; Cricetidae. The record is from RNAcentral.